RNAcentral lists this transfer RNA (66 nucleotides) under Neohydatothrips samayunkur. RNAcentral describes it as "tRNA-Asn". Lineage: Eukaryota; Metazoa; Arthropoda; Insecta; Thysanoptera; Thripidae. The record is from RNAcentral.
UUAGUUAAAGCCAAAAAGAGGUUAAUUACUGUUAAUAAUUAUAUUGAAGUUAAACUUCUAACUAUU